RNAcentral lists this ribosomal RNA (490 nucleotides) under uncultured bacterium. RNAcentral describes it as "partial 16S ribosomal RNA". It matches the Rfam family "Bacterial small subunit ribosomal RNA", at positions 30 to 507 of the family's 1533-position model. The record is from RNAcentral.
AUUGAACGCUGGCGGCAGGCCUAACACAUGCAAGUCGAACGGUAACAGAAAGCAGCUUGCUGCUUUGCUGACGAGUGGCGGACGGGUGAGUAAUGUCUGGGAAACUGCCUGAUGGAGGGGGAUAACUACUGGAAACGGUAGCUAAUACCGCAUAACGUCGCAAGACCAAAGAGGGGGACCUUCGGGCCUCUUGCCAUCGGAUGUGCCCAGAUGGGAUUAGCUUGUUGGUGGGGUAACGGCUCACCAAGGCGACGAUCCCUAGCUGGUCUGAGAGGAUGACCAGCCACACUGGAACUGAGACACGGUCCAGACUCCUACGGGAGGCAGCAGUGGGGAAUAUUGCACAAUGGGCGCAAGCCUGAUGCAGCCAUGCCGCGUGUAUGAAGAAGGCCUUCGGGUUGUAAAGUACUUUCAGCGGGGGGGAAGGGAGUAAAGUUAAUACCUUUGCUCAUUGACGUUACCCGCAGAAGAAGCACCGGCUAACUCCGUG